GGCGACUCUGUAAAUAAAAUAAUCCCUAUUCAAUAUUGUCACUUUAAUUAGAAAAAUCCUUCGACCUCGAUCCCUUCGGGCGAAAAAAGGGAUGUGACAUCUCUGGCGACUCUGCUGGGGAUUAAUAAGAAUUCGACCUUUUUAUAUUGACUUAUAUUUGCUGUAAUUAUUGUUGAUAUUGUGUUUGUUGACCUUAUGUGCUGCUUGUCGCUCAUUUACCACUUUGAUAUUGAUUGAACUGUGUUAUUUGGUGUGUUCUCUUGCGCACCCCCUCUGAGUCUCUGAAAUAGGAUAGAAGGAAUGCAGCGCAUGCAUCCUUCUUUCUUUUUGAGAUAGCCAGAGUGUGAAGGCACCUGGUGAAGGAUUAUAGUCACACAUGUUAGGCGGGGUUCAGAUCGGUAACGAAGGCGGUGUUGACCUGCUACCGACCAAGUUGUCCCUCCCCGGAUCAAGCGUCCGCUCGGGUAAGACAGUCUAGUUACCUAUCCCUAUUAGGAUUAAACUUAAAAGAACUGAAAACUCAGAAUCUGGUUAUCCCUAUUAAGUGCCGCUUUAUUUGCAUCAUAUGCAUUUGACUUAGCGAGACUCGGCUCAGGGGUCGGGUCUGUCUAGGACAGGUGACCUAGUUUAUAAAGACCAACAUGUGCAUCUUACAUGCUCUUUGACAUUUGUUUGGAAGACUGUUUGUUUGUUGACCGGCUUUAGGCAACUUUAAAAUGCAAGAGAAUAAAUUAUCCUCACAUUUAGUGAUUUUUUUUUUCUAAAAAAAAAGAAAAAAAUUAUUUUAAAAGAAAGAAAAAAUUUGAGUAACAUAGUUUUACGGUCUUCAUGAACUACGAGGGUCUGAUUCUCAUAUCUUAGUGGGAUACAUAGGAAGUCCUUCUCAGGAUACGACCCUAUCUUUUGAAAAUUAUUCAUAGACUUAUUGUGGAAUAUUUUGAAAAUAUGAUUACUUUCAUAACUAUUUGUAUAAUUGUCAAGUCUAAUUUAUAUAGUUAUAUAUAUAUAUCUUAAUAGCCAUGAAUCUUUAGGGAUCUUGAGGCUGAAUUUUGUACGACAUAUAUUUCACGAACUACGCACACCUGAUUCUCAUCUUAAUGAGAUAUGUAGGCGCCCUUCUAGGGUUCCGUGAUCUUUUCAUAAAGAAUAUAAAAGAAAAAGUGUUUUUGAAAAAAACAUUGCAUUCUGACGUCUUUGUUAUUUCUUAUCACAGUUAGUUUAAGGUGUUGGUUUGUAGUAUUUUGGCUGGUCCUCCAUAUCAUACCAAAUCUAAAUGAGGUUUAGCUGUGUCCAACAAGGAUAUAGAGAGUGACCUCAUGGAUCAAACAAAGAGUCAGGAAAAUGAGAGUUUAAAGGAAGAGAAUUUGAGACUAAGGCAACAAAUGAUGGAAAUGUAUCAAGCUUGGGCCAGUGGGCAUCCCCCUCCUCCGUUCCCCACUAUUAAAGACUGGGGCAUGUCUUCAAGUGUCAACUUUCGUCAAAGAUUUAAGAUAUCGAAAUUUAAGGAACAUGAUAGAGAUGAGGAUUCUGUGAAGCAUUUGGGAUGAUACUGCAAUCGAUCAAAGGAAAUUGAAAAAGAAAAGAAGAAGGAAAACGUAUUUAUUGUCAUGCCAGGCCCAAAGAAGAGUUUGAGAGGUUCAACCCACCAAUACUGUCAGCCUCAAUCCCGAGCUUACAUAUUAGAUCCACACAACCACAUGCAACGAGGAUCCUUUCUCCAAAAUCCAAGAAAUUUCAUUUCACUUCCUCAAUAUCCUUUGAACAAUGCACAGUCGUAUUCUCAUUCUUCUUUCUAUCCACAAUGGUGUGCCCCGAACCUUCGGCGUCAUCCUCGACACUCACAAAUUUACCAAGAAGACUCUAAAUCUAAUUUUCAUCCGAGGCCAGAGUUUGCAAUGAGGAGGCAGGCAAAGGAUAAUUUCACACCAAUUGGAGAGUCCUAUACCAGUUUGUUCCAGACAUUGAGGCAAUGGGGCAUGAUUACUCCCAUCCCUGGGUAUAUUCCCGAUCCACUUUCAAAAUAUUUUGAUCCUAAUGUAUGAUGUGCUUAUCAUUCUAAUAAGCAAGGUCACAAUACUGAAGAUUGUCGUAUUUUGAAAAGAGAAAUAGAGAAAAUGAUUCAAGAAAAAUUGAUUGUGGUGAAAAACGUUGGUACCUCAACCGUCCCACAGAGUUAUUCGCCAGCACGUGGUACUGCACGAUAUGUGGGAGACAAUGAAUCAAGUAUGGAGAUCCAUAACUUAUUUGUUAAAGGGAAUGUAUUUGAUCGUGGUGGAAGCUCUAGUCAUGUUGAUAUGCAAAUCAGUGGCUAAGUUGUCAGCCUGAGCAAUUGAGAAGUCACCCCUCUCCCUACUAGGAAGAGGUCUAGUAGUUUGUUUUCUUUUCUUUUCUGUUACCCAAAUUAUUUUAGGGUUGUAGUUUAGGACCUAUCUUGUCUGAUUUUCUUAUUGUUUUUAUUCAAAUCCUUCUAUGUUUCUAUCAACAAAUGUGUGUCCUUUUUAUUUUUUAUUAUAUAUUGUUUAGUUGUCUUUCUUUUCUUUAGAGAGCUCUUCCUAUGGUGAUUCUAGUGAUGUGAUAUGCAUGUUGAAUUCAUAAACUGAUCUUUAAAUCUAAUCUAAUCCUGAAACAUCUGACAAAGAAGACAGGGUUGAAAGAAAAAAGCAUGUAAGAAAAAUAAGUAAAGUGUUGAGAUGUUUUGGGGACCUAGUUACAUCCUCACUUGAAUGUUUUGAGGCAAUCACUUUGCGAAUAAAAAAAUGACUUGAUCUUCAAUGAUAAGGUUCAACUCAAACAGUUUUUAAUGAGAUCGACCAGCGGAUAUAAAGUUUCUAUUGGUAAGAAGCAAAAGGAAGUUAGCUAAAAAAAAGAGUCAUCUGUUGUGAAGAAAGUACAAUAUAAGUAGACCUGUAUAGUUUACAAGUUUAAAAGAAGUGACACAUGUGCAUGUGCUUAGUCACGGUCAAUAUUGAAAAGAUGCAUAUGAUCUUCGUGUUCCAUUCCUAGAUUGCAUGUUAUGUACUUGCGUUUUUAAGGAUUGAUAUGACGAAGACAUUUCAUUCUGCUAUCCAAAUGUUGUGUCAUCCUUUGUUAUCACUUUUGAGAUUUUGUUUUAUUUCUUUUAUAUCCAUCUUUUGGAAUCAAAAUAGAGUCUGCAAAAAAAAAAGAAUAGAGUCGGAAAAGUGUCAAGAAAAAAUGAAACUGGAAAAAAUAUCUCUUUCUCUCUCUCUAAAAAAAAUAGAAGAAAAAGAGAGAAAGGUCAAGAAAAAAAAAGAAAGAAAAUUAAGCAAAAGAACAAGAUGCCUGAACUACGUUUGACCUGAUUCUUGUUAUGAAAAGAUACAUAGGCAGCCCUACUCUGGGGUUCGGUUUAACCAAAAGAAAAUUCAAAUUACCCGGAAUGAAAUGAAACUGGGGUAAAGUUUAUUUUGUUUGAAAGAGUCGAUUCCAAAAGUUGUAUGUUUCACCCAACAUUAUGUAAAUUUUUGAGCCUCAUGCCUCCCUUUCUUUCUAACCUUUUCCAAAAGACAAGUUACAACCAAAGAAAGACCUUCAGAUCGAUCUUUGAGAAUGUCAAGGCUAAACAUGUUAUGGGUGCAUGAUGUUUCGUAUGUUGGGUAUUAUUUUUCAAAAAAAAAAAUGAAUGAUGAAAAAAAAUGAAUGAGUAACAAUGAGAGUGUUGUUGGUGAAAAUCCUUUUGGGCACCAUAAGGCGACAGUGAACUGAGAAAGAAAUAAAAAUGAGAUAGACAUUGACAAAAGCCCAUUGAGGUGCCACUAGUCGAAGGAGGAUUGUGAUUUAGAGGGAGCAUAUUCAAGAUUGGCUCAAUUUCAAGAUCAAUAAGUGGACAAAAGUUGAUAAUGAUUAGUAUGGAUAGAUCAGGUUGUUUAAUUCAAAAUGCAUGUCAUAAUUACUGAAAUCGGCUACCACACCCAAAUAAGUUUUCUUCUAUUUUUUUAAAAAGAUGCCUAUUGUUUUUCCCCUUUUCUUUUUUAUUUUUCUAUUUUUAAUUUUUUUUUGGCAUCUUUAUCAAUAAAUAAAAAUUAUUGUCAUUUUUCUCGUGUCUUUAAGUCGAGUCUAUGUCAAAAUAAUUGAGAAAAUAUUUUAAAACUAGCUACUAGCUUCUUCAAUUGCACAAAGCAAAACAAAAAACGAACACAUGAAAAAGACAUGAUUGUGAGCCGAAAUAAGGCAUGCAGAAAAGUUUUGUCAAUAGACGAGUCUGGAAAUUCAUGAAAAUACCAAGGUUUAAAGGGUUUAUUUGAGGAGCAUGGCAAAGCAAAGAUACUGUGUUUGUUUCAGAGUCACUUUUAAUAAUCUGAGUUUGGGUCAACGAUGCAGCCAGUCGGCGACAGAUGUUAAUGGUUGGAAGCUAGGUCAAAUGUGAAGAGAGCAAGAGUGAUUGCCACAGAAGCUAAAUCCACAAACCUGCCACCAUAUUUGAACUCACAAGUUUUCUUUGAUGAAACAGAAAACAUGCUACCUUCAAAUUAAGGACUUCAGAGUAUAAAUAUCAAGAGCUGUAAUGCCUCCUUUAUACAAAUGCAGGAAACAAUGCUGCUUCACAGGUUUGAUAAUCAAAUUAUGGUAAAAAUUCAACCCCUAGGAGACGCACUUCCUAGUUGGAAUAAGUCAGUUUUCAUUUGUUAGGUGACGUACUUCCUAACUUGAACAUUCACUCCUAGAAGAUGUAAUUUUUAGUCGAGUCAUCCUCGUGAUUCCUAUAAGACGUACCUUUUAGUCGAGUCAUCCCCUUGAUUCCUAUAAGACAAACGUUUUAGUCAAGUCACACCCCGUUAUUCCUAUAAGACGUACCUUUUAGUCGAUUCAUCUCCUUGAUUUCUAUAAGACAUACCUUUUAGUCGAGUCAUCUCCUUGAUUCCUUAUAAGAAAAACCUUUUAGUCGAGUCACACCACGUGAUUCUUAUAAGACGUAUCUUUUAGUCGAGUCAUUCCCAUUGAUUACUAUAAGACGAACCUUUUAGUCGAAUCACUCCUCGUGAUUCCUAUAAGACGUACCUUUUAGUCGAGUCAUCCCAUUGAUUCCUAUAAGACAAACUUUUUAGUCGAGUCACUCCUCGUGAUUCCUAUAAGAUGUACCUUUUAGUCGAGUCAUCCCCUUGAUUCCUAUAAAAUGAACCUUCUAGUCGAGUCACUCCCCGUGAUUCCUAUAAGACGUACUUUUUAGUUGAGUCAUCCCCUUGAUUCCUAAGAGACGAACCUUUUAGUCGAGUCACUCCUCGUGAUUCCUAUAAGACGUACCUUUUAGUCGAGUUAUUUCCCUUGAUUCCUAUAAGACGAACCUUUUAGUAGAGUCACUCCUCAUGAUUCCUAUAAGACGUACCUUUUAGUUGAGUCAUUCCCUUGAUUCCUAUAAGAUGAACCUUUUAGUUGAGUCACUCCCCGUGAUUCCUAUAAGACGUACCUUUUAGUCGAGUCAUUCCCCUUGAUUCCUAUAAGACGAACCUUUUAGUCGAGUCCCUCCUGAAGAAUGAGAAUUUAUUUUAUGUCCAAGACCCUCUUGAAGAAUGGGAUGUUAUUUUUCUGUUUGACCUUUUAUUUUGAGUUCAGAAACAUAUUUUGAAAAAUCAGAAAAGGGAAGUCCAAGAGCCCGCCUAAAGAACAGGAUGAAGAAGUAGCAAGUUCAGAAGCCCUCCUGAAGAAUAGGGUGAAGAAAAAAAGAAAGUCUAGGAGCCCGCCUAAAGAACAGGGUGAAGAAAAAUGGAAGUCUAGUAGCCCGCCUAAAGAACAGGGUGAAGAAAAAUGGAAGUCCAGGAGCCCGCCUGAAGAACAGGGUGAAGAAGCAACAAAUCAGGAGCCCACCUGAAGAACAGGGUGAAGGAAAAGCAAGUCAAGAGUCGCCUGAAGAAUAGGGUGAAUUUUCAAGUUCAAGUCACGAAGAUUAGAAUCAAGAUUCUAGAGAUUAUAAUUUUCACUUGUAUUUUUCAUUUUUUUUUAUUUUGUUAGUCAUUUGAAUGUAAAAGGCAGAAGUCGUUAACCAAAAAUUCGACGAAAUCUCACUCGACCUUUAUCUCUUUCUCUCACUUUUUACCUUUGAACUACAUGUGACCUGAUUCCCUUAAAACCGGGGAUAUAUAGGCGGUCCAAAACUAGGACUCGGUUACAUCUUUUUAUUUUAUUUUUAGCCUCAUUUUUAAAUAAUCGAAGGAUUAAAAAUCAUUUCUUUGUCUACUUCUUUGUAUGAAAACUCUUCGAGAUUUCACACAAAAAGGGGCAAAAUGUAGACACGUGAUUUUUGACCCUCCCGAGUUUUGACCUAUUUUUUUUUUUUACAUUAAAUAUUUAUUUAUGUCAAAAUAUUAUCUUUAGUUCUUAUUUAAUUUUUUUUAGUAGAUUUCAUUUUAAAAAAAAGUUCAAAAAAAUAAAGUUACAUUUUAAGAUUUAAAAAAAUAAAAUAAUACAAAAAAAUAAAAAAAUUCAAAAAAUAUUUUCUUUUAAUUUAGAUUUUUAUAAAUAAGCUAGUAAUUUUAUUUUCUCUUAAUUGUAUUUUUAUUUUAAAUUAGUAAUAUUUUUAUUCUAUGUUUCUUAAGUAUAAAAAUUAAUUAGUUAAUAUUUUUUUAUUAUUAAUAUUAUUUAUUUUUUUAUAUAAUUUAUUUAUUUAUUAAAAAAUGAGAUCAUUAUCCUAUUUAUAUAAAAAAAAUAUUCAAAAUUUAAAUCCUAAACUUCCUAAACUACUCCCCCCAAAAUCCUUCUAUAUAAGGACUCCCCAGCCCCAGGAAGCAGAAGUACAUUACAAUCUACACUGUUACUGCAAAAAAAAAAAAAACAGAAACUGAAACAGAGAGAACCUACUAUUCUCACACUGAGACUACAUCAUUAGAUACUGAGGAAAAAAAACAGUCAGAGUAAAAAAAAAUAGAGUGAGUGAAACAUUCAAAAUCAUUAGGAGAAAAACAUCAAAGAAAAGACAGAAAAGAAGAUUGAAAUUGAAAUUCAGGUUUUGUUCGAGUUACAGUGAUGACGUUUUGGCUUUGAUACUUGUGUUAAUAUGUAAUACAGGUUUUUAUCCCAUCUUGUACUAUAUUUCAUAAGUUUAUCGUGAAUUAAAGCAUGAAUUGUGUUAUUAAGUGCAUUUGUACAUUAUUCAAUAGGCCAGAAUGAUUGCUUAUAUGAGUUUUAUUAUCACGAAUCGCAUGUUUAGUUAUUUAUUAUUCAAGUUGAAGAAGUUAAGGAAUAUAUAUUAAAUCCUUCGUAAAUUUCAAACUUCAUGAGAUAUAAUGUUAAAUAAUCUAAUGAUUUCAAAUUAAAAUGGUUCUUCUUAAGUUAUGGAGUCAGAACUAAAUAUUGAUAGAAGUUUGAGAAAAUUGAUUCUUGGCCAUAUAAAUCGUUCGAUGUUUGUAGUUAUGGCAUUUUACGUCAAUGAAUUUAAGUUUCAAUUUUUAUUUUUCUUUACUCUUGUAGGUUGUUCGGGUAGUUGUUAGAGUGUUGUGUGUGCGUUGUUACUGUUGUCGUUGUUUGGAUGAUUUUUUUUUAUAUUAUUAUGUUAUAAGUGUGUGUUUUACUGUGAUAGUUUGUUUGGAUAGUUGACUGGUUAUUAUUAUAUUGUAUUAUUAUUCUAGAAGUAUCAGUUUGAUAUGUAGAAAAAUGUGGUCUUCAUGAUGAACUGCAUUAGUGCUAGGAUCGUGAUAAAAAUAAAUAAGUAAGAAGUAUUUGCAUGGCCAUAGAUUUUUUUUUAAUCAAAGUCAAAAAAAAAAAAAGAAUUUCAAAAGUUAUUUAUACUUGAAUAUGAAAAAUUUUAUUUACUUUUUUUUUUAUUAUUAUUUAUUUAUGUAGAAAGACUAUUGGACCUUUAACAAUUAAAAUCAUCAAACUGUUAAUUUUAGUUGACCUGACUUUUGACAAUUAGAAUACUAUUUUCAAUGUGAUUGAAAAAUAAUAAGGUGAAUGUUUGAUAUUCUGGGAAAUUAACGUAGGAAUUUUGAUGCAUAAUGGAUAAAUAAAUAUUUUCUUUCUUGUUGUUAGUUUUCAUAUUUUAUUGUAAUAGUUGGAUGUAUAUGUCUAAUAGAUUGGAUAAUUCUUAUAAUUUUAUUCGUGUUUUUUUCUUUUUCUUUUUUUUUUUAAGAAUUUUUAGUUUAAUAAUCAGUUCAUACAACUUUGGAUCGAGAAACGGAAUUUAUUAGCUAGUGUAAGUCUAAGUGAAACGGGUUGUAGAUUUACUUAAGACCCAUCACAAAUUUUAAAAUAAAAGAGAGCAAAAAUGAGGAUAAAAAUAAAAUUGUUUCGAGUUUAAAAAUAACAAAUUAACGUCUUUAAUGCUAGGCAAAUUCUUAGGCACGUUAAAAUAUUCGUCUCAAUAAAGAAUGCAGCGUACGCAUCUUUUUGAGAUAUUUAAUAAUUUGAGGAUGCAAUAUUGCACUUCGGCAAAGUUCAUCUUAAAAUUAAUUUUCACCAGUUUAAAACAAGAGUUUUAAAUGAUUUUAGUAUAGUAAAAUGAGCGAUUUUAGGGCCUACUAACAUAAUUAUCAAAAUAGUUUAAGUCAUGAUAAGUUAAUAAAAGCGAUCGUGAUAGAACCACGGGACUCGAGGGGUGCCUCAGACCUUUCCCUCGGUCAAUAGACUUCCUUACCCGGUCUUCUGUUUUCGCAGACCAACAAAGAGUCAUUUCUUUUUGAUUAGGGAUUCAAUAAGGUAACUUGAAACACCAUAACUCAAUUUCAAGUGGCGACUCUGUAAAUAAAAUAAUCCCUAUUCAAUAUUGUCACUUUAAUUGAAAAAAUCAUUCGACCUCGAACCCUUCGGGCAAAAAAAAGGGUGUGACAGCAUGCCCUAACCUCGGGCUCACCCUUGGAAUCGUGGGCUGUAGCACACCGAUUUGGCUCGAAUACGACCCGUUUGCGUCAUUGCACCUGUUUGAUCACCCAAAUUGACCUGCUAAUCCCAACAACCCACACUAGAAUGCUUCCCAACCUCUCUGGCAUUCCCCGAUCAAUUUUUAACCCACGGCAAGCCCAGACCCUGAACCCA
This 8982-nucleotide long non-coding RNA is filed under the name Capsicum annuum. RNAcentral's name for it is "long non-coding RNA (CANN_LNC014993)". Lineage: Eukaryota; Viridiplantae; Streptophyta; Magnoliopsida; Solanales; Solanaceae. The record is from RNAcentral.